UUCUCCCACUGCCUAAUCCUGCUUCCUCCCCACUUCUUUUAUAGGUGUUGAUCCCAAGGGCACUUCAUGAUGAAUAACCUUAACAAUAAACUGCCUCAGAGUCUUCUUCCUGGAGAAAAUAGACUGCCAUUAUUGAUGCCAGGAGUGGUUCAGGAAAGAGGAGAUGCACUCCUAAGAAUAGACUGCCUGAAAGCCCUAUGGACUGGUCUGGCAUUUGAGGUCAUGGUUCCUGUAUGCCUUCUGUUCCAUGUCAGCUGUGGUAUUGCUGGGCAUUGUUCAGCACAGAUGGGGUCACCUGGGCUGGGAUCCAGGCUGCAAGUGGUAUUCAGGUAUGCUCAGCAUUUCUUCUCAUUCUAGGACUAGUGGCUCUACCUGGUAUACUCUUCUCAUCACAGAUGACAAAAUGACAAGCAGUCAAGACAAACCAUUUACGUAUACUCAAUGCCUCUGCCUUCAUCACAUUUAAUAACAUCCUGUGAACCAAAGCAAGUCACAUGGUUCAGCCCAAAGUUAGCGGAGUAAGGAUGGAUAUUCCGCCUGCUGUGCUGGAAGGCACUGCAACGUCAUGAGACAAAAGAUUUGUAUGUAAUCCUAUUACAGUGAGGGGGUGAAGAGUUGAGAAACCUAAUCCAUUUGACUAUAGUUGUCCAGGAUGACAAAGACAAUGGUGAUAGUUAUGAUGAUGGUGAUGAUGUAAACAUGUUUUUCCCCAGCUUUCGCCAUUAAGCUUUAUUUACCCUCAAAUUUUUAUCUUUCAUGUUAAAAGCUUAAUAAUUCGGCCUUACUGGAGUGUAUUUUUUUCCAUGAGCGAUUAAAGAGCAUUAUAAUUAGGAAAAACAAAACUAAACAAAUUCCUCCUGAUUGAAAAGUACGUAAGAUAAGAUGUGCCACUCUCAAAAAGGACACAGGGCUUGGAGAUAUACUUUGAAAAUGUGAUACUCAAAUUAACAUUUUGCGUAGCCCAAGCUUUCUUAGGUUUGAGUAUUAAGGAGAGAAGACUACAGUCUCCAAUGUGUAAAUUUAGAACAGCCUUUCAAAAAAUAAAAAUACAGGCUGCGGUAAUUUGUGAAUUAGAUAGCAAGAGUGGGUCACAUUGGGAACAGGGAUUCUUUCUUCCUACUUUCAGGACACUCUCAAGACCCAGUAGCCUGAAAAUGAAGCAGGAACAAACUGCAUGUAAAUUAAAAGCAGGAGAGAACUUUAUGGUUCAGCUAGCAGAGAUAACAGAAGGCAAGUCCCACUGUUGACUUAUGAUGACUUAGCAAGACAGAUGGAGGGAGGAGUGAAAUAGUAGACCCCAUGGUAAGCGAGAGAACUGGCUCUAGUACACACACAGACACCUUACAAGAGAAGAAAAUGGAGGGGAGGAAUUUUACUGCUACUGUAGGCUGUUUUCAUGCAAAUUAGUACAUUUGGAGGAAUUACAGCUUAUGUUGUUAUUAUCGUUGCCAUUAAUACAAUUAAUCACCACUAUUAUUCAUAUAUUAAUGUUUUACUUUCAUUGAUGUGACAGAAUGGUGGACUCUGCCAAUUCUUUUGUCCAUGAAAGAAAUAUGGGUACCCAGCUCACUUUGCUUUGCUUAGGCAAAGAGAAAGGAAACAAAAUUGGAUCUAUCUUAAGAAAACAAGGAUGAAUGAUAGCUUAUCAGAUCAAUAAAAAAUUAUUGCCGUUUAAAUAAGAAUUUUCCCAAUGUACAG
This 1698-nucleotide long non-coding RNA is filed under the name Microcebus murinus (gray mouse lemur). Its description in RNAcentral is "lncRNA (ENSMICG00000048250.1)". The record is from RNAcentral. Lineage: Eukaryota; Metazoa; Chordata; Mammalia; Primates; Cheirogaleidae.